Podarcis raffonei (Aeolian wall lizard) is the source of this 570-nucleotide long non-coding RNA. RefSeq lists it as uncharacterized. The record is from RefSeq and is a predicted model, not a curated record. Lineage: Eukaryota; Metazoa; Chordata; Lepidosauria; Squamata; Lacertidae. The transcript has 2 exons.
AGCUUCCCUGCCAGCCUGCCGCCUCCCUUCGCGCUCUUCUUCUUCUUCAGCCCACCGCCGCGACACGGAUCGCUCGCCCCCGCUUCUCAACAAAAGUGAUCCCUUGCCACCUGGCCCUGGAGUGCCAGUGAAAUAUGAGGCCAGGCCUGUGCCUAGCUGGCAAGCUGGGUAGAUAGAAUGACCAGGCAACUGCUUCAGAACACAACUUAUUGUGGAGAACAUGUGGGAGGAGCCAGCUAUGAGAUGCCAACUGCCAUUGUGAGAGCUCUAUCUUCCUUUGUAGCGGUGAGUCUCAGUGAUAAGUUUACACAAAAGAGGUGGUAGGUAGGACAGCGCUAAAUUUAUCAGUGCGCUCUCAACUAUUUAUUCCCCAUCCAUUGAUCAAGUUCAGGUUAAUGACAUAAGACUGUCAUGGGGCACAAUUGUUUGGCGCUACAAAACAAGGCUGCCUGCUCUUUCGCCUUUGCUAUUUACAACAGCCAUCAGCAUUUUGGCCAAUAAAUCAGUCGACCCUGGCACUGUAGGUUUAACAUUAGAAAGAAGAGAUAAAGGAGGUAGGUAGGUGUAGAU